CUGUAGCCAGUCAGAAAUGAGCUUAUUCAUAAAAGUGCAGUAUGGUGGAGUCAGUCUGUAAUUUUAUGUAUAAGCUGGUCUCUGACUGAAACGUGCAGCAGCUGUCUUC
RNAcentral lists this microRNA precursor (109 nucleotides) under Chlorocebus sabaeus (green monkey). RNAcentral describes it as "microRNA 590 (ENSCSAG00000027538.1)". The stretch from base 5 to 90 matches the Rfam family "mir-590 microRNA precursor family". Lineage: Eukaryota; Metazoa; Chordata; Mammalia; Primates; Cercopithecidae. The record is from RNAcentral.